GAUGAACGCUGGCGGCGUGCCUAAUACAUGCAAGUCGAGCGAACAGACGAGGAGCUUGCUCCUCUGACGUUAUCGGCGGACGGGUGAGUAACACGUGGAUAACCUACCUAUAAGACUGGGAUAACUUCGGGAAACCGGAGCUAAUACCGGAUAAUAUAUUGAACCGCAUUGUUCAAUAGUUAAAGACGGUUUUGCUGUCACUUAUAGAUGGAUCCGCGCCGCAUUAGCUAGUUGGUAAGGUAACGGCUUACCAAGGCAACGAUGCGUAGCCGACAUGAGAGGGUGAUCGGCAACACUGGAACUGAGACACGGUACAGACUCCUACGGGAGGAAGCAGUAGGGAAUAUUCCGCAAAGGGCGAAAGCAUGACGGAGCAACGCCGAGUGAGUGAUGAAGGUCUUCGGAUCGUAAAACUCUGUUAUUAGGGAAGAAAAAAUGUGUAAGUAAAUAUGCACGUCUUGACGGUAACUAAUCAGAAAGCCACGGCUAACUACGUG
RNAcentral lists this ribosomal RNA (497 nucleotides) under uncultured bacterium. Its description in RNAcentral is "partial 16S ribosomal RNA". It matches the Rfam family "Bacterial small subunit ribosomal RNA", at positions 28 to 507 of the family's 1533-position model. The record is from RNAcentral.